GUGUUUUUGAUAGAUGCCUGGAUAAAGUCUGCACAUAAGAACUCUGCAUGGCGCAUCAUUUGUGGAAUGUUCUAUGGAUGUGUUGUGCUGUUCUCUUUCAUUUUGAGUAGAGGUUUUAUCAGGAUGCAUGUGAAGUGGGUCUGGUUAUAUUUUCUGUCUCUGGCACAAUUCUUCCUACUGAUUUCCUUAUUUGGACUUCCCAGUCCAGCUUUUCUAGCUGCGCCAAUGGUUCAGGCAAUACUGCUUAUGUGUAUGCGAACUAGCUUCUGGAAAUUAGUGAUAACAUUAUAUAGCAUCCUAGUGGUCUAUGUUCAUGUAUGCAUAUUUGGAAGAGAGAAAGAAUACUUGCAGUGGACCUUUAUGGUUGUAUUUCUUGAAGUUCUGAGGAUUAUGGUGGCCUUUGAAGACCGAGAUUAUGUUAUUGAGGCAGAACAUUCAGAAGCACAGAGACAACAACAACAGACCGAGAUGAGCCAGCAAGGAUCAAAUGCAUGUAAUUACUGACUGCUGACAAUAUGAUUCACUUUAUUUCUAAAUUUCUUGAUUUACCCAAUAUGUAUUAAAAAACCCUCUUAACUCUGUUAAAGCAAUAGAAUAUAAAUACAAUUCUAUAGUAGAACAUAGAAAAGAAAUCUACUAAAAUUAACAUACAAAUAUAGUGUUCAGUGGUAACAAUUGUUUAAUGUAUUAGAGCAACUAUUUGGUUUGUUUGUUUUUGUGUGUGUGUGUGUGUGUGUGUGUGUGUGUGUGUUAGUGGUUUGUUUGUUUUUGUGUGUGUGUGUGUGUGUGUGUGUGUGUGUGUGUUAGUGUCUCUCUGUCAUAAAAUCAUGUUCAUGUUUGGAGCAGUUGGUCUUGUUUUGUUGAACUCUGGUACACUGACAGCAGAACUGAUCCUGAAAGCACGUGAGUGAUUGUAAUAUUUUUAAGUCAUAGAGAGUUAUCUAAUCUAACACACUGUAAUACACUGUGUCUUUAGGAAAUAUACACAACAAAUUACAGUGCAAUUACUAAACAUUGCUUGACCUUUUCGUUUUCCAAUGCCUUAAUUUUGUUUCUGUUUUCAUAUGUAGUAUUUUAAUUGUAAUUCUUAGGAAAUGGUGAGCAUGUCGUGAAGGAUCUGAGAGUCGUAGUAUUUCUCUCUGAAUGUGUUUUUGUCUUAUAUUGGAUGAUUUUACAAAUAUGUGCUUUCUGUAAGUAUCUUCUAAUAUAUUUUUAAAAUAGACUCAGUUGAUUAAAUUGUGUGUGUGUGUGUGUGUGUGUGUGGGUGUGUGUGUGUGUGUGUGUGUGUGUGUGUGUGUGUGAGUGUCUCUCUGUCAUAAAAUCAUGUUCAUGUUUGGAGCAGUUGGUCUUGUUUUGUUGAACUCUGGUACACUGACAGCAGAACUGAUCCUGAAAGCACGUGAGUGAUUGUAAUAUUUUUAAGUCAUAGAGAGUUAUCUAAUCUAACACACUGUAAUACACCGUGUCUUUAGGAAAUAUACACAACAAAUUACAGUGCAAUUACUAAACAUUGCUUGACCUUUUCGUUUUCCAAUGCCUUAAUUUUGUUUCUGUUUUCAUAUGUAGUAGUUUAAUUGUAAUUCUUAGGAAAUGGUGAGCAUGUCGUGAAGGAUCUGAGAGUCGUAGUAUUUCUCUCUGAAUGUGUUUUUGUCUUAUAUUGGAUGAUUUUACAAAUAUGUGCUUUCUGUAAGUAUCUUCUAAUAUAUUUUUAAAAUAGACUCAGUUGAUUAAAUUAAUCUGAUUGUCAAAUGUAUGACUCAAUGAAUAUUAACAUAAUAAAUAAUGAGCCAGACUGAUGUAUUUUGGUGAAAUCUGUGUUCGGUUUAUUAAAAAGUUAUAUGGCUCAGUAAAAAACAGCCAAAAAAAUCCAUCCAAACAGGUACUUAAAGAGCUAAAGACGAACCAACAAUAUUUAUAGUACACAAUGCCAAGUUUAAAGUGUAAAUUAGUGUAUACAGUGUGCUACAGAUAUCACUUUACGCUCAUGCUUUUAACUCUCGGCAAAGGUGUUUCACAAUAACUUUAAGCAGGGUUACCACCACAUUUUUCUGUCUUUAAAAUUGAUAUAUUAAAUGCAUUAUGUUAACUAAAAAAAUAUUUAAUUAGUCACAAAAAAUUGUAUUCAAAUGACCGCCC
Long non-coding RNA from Sinocyclocheilus grahami, 2136 nucleotides. NCBI's taxonomy places the organism in Eukaryota, Metazoa, Chordata, Actinopteri, Cypriniformes, Cyprinidae. The record is from Ensembl.